This 465-nucleotide ribosomal RNA is filed under the name uncultured bacterium. RNAcentral describes it as "partial 16S ribosomal RNA". It matches the Rfam family "Bacterial small subunit ribosomal RNA", at positions 28 to 507 of the family's 1533-position model. The record is from RNAcentral.
GAUGAACGCUGGCGGCGUGCUUAACACAUGCAAGUCGAACGGAAAGGCUCCUGCUUGCAGGGGUACUCGAGUGGCGAACGGGUGAGUAACACGUGGGUGAUCUGCCCUGCACUUCGGGAUAAGCCUGGGAAACUGGGUCUAAUACCGGAUAGGACGAUGGUUUGGAUGCCAUUGUGGAAAGUUUUUCGGUGUGGGAUGAGCUCGCUGCCUAUCAGCUUGUUGGUGGGGUAAUGGCCUACCAAGGCGUCGACGGGUAGCCGGCCUGAGAGGGUGUACGGCCACAUUGGGACUGAGAUACGGCCCAGACUCCUACGGGAGGCAGCAGUGGGGAAUAUUGCACAAUGGGCGCAAGCCUGAUGCAGCGACGCCGCGUGGGGGAUGACGGCCUUCGGGUUGUAAACUCCUUUCGCUAGGGACGAAGCGCAAGUGACGGUACCUGGAGAAGAAGCACCGGCUAACUACGUG